This 256-nucleotide non-coding RNA is filed under the name Paenibacillus mucilaginosus. RNAcentral's name for it is "T-box sequence". It matches the Rfam family "T-box leader". Rfam says of the family: Uncharged tRNA acts as the effector for transcription antitermination of genes in the T-box leader family. T-boxes are found upstream of many aminoacyl-tRNA synthetase genes and some amino acid biosynthetic genes usually in Gram-positive bacteria. Lineage: Bacteria; Bacillati; Bacillota; Bacilli; Caryophanales; Paenibacillaceae. The record is from RNAcentral.
GCGAAAGCGAUGACCGGGACGAGUAUUCCGUGUUCUGACCGAAGCCAGCGAGCCGGGGAAUGGUGGAAGCCCGGACUUCGGCACCGGAAGAAGAUCCCCCGGGAGCAUCUCUUGAAAGCAACCAGUAAAGAGUAUCGGCCGAUCCCGUUAUCGAUCAAUGAGUGAAGACACUCCUGUUCGCCCUGCGCAGGUAUGCGUGAAUGGCGGCCAUGGAGUUCUUAAUCAGGGUGGUACCGCGAGACUUCUCGUCCCUAUG